GAAUCCCGUCUUUGACAUGGACUCCCGGUGCUUAAUAGGUGUGCUCUCGAAGAGUCGAGUUGUUUGGGAAUGCAGCUCAAAAUGGGUGGUAAAUGCCAUCUAAAGCUAAAUAUUGGCGAGAGACCGAUAGCGAACAAGUACCGUGAGGGAAAGAUGAAAAGAACUUUGGAAAGAGAGUUAAACAGUACGUGAAAUUGCUGAAAGGGAAACGCUUGAAGUCAGUCGCGUCGGUUGGAAAUCAACCUUGCUUUUGCUGGGUGUACUUUCCGUCCGACGGGUCAGCAUCAAUUUUGGCUGCUGGAUAAAGUUCUUUGGGAAUGUGGCAUCCUCGGAUGUGUUAUAGCCCUCGGGACAUAUGCAGCUGCUGGGAUUGAGGAACUCAGCACGCCUCUUUGGCUGGGCUUUGUCCACACGAACGUGCCUAGGAUGCUGGCAUAAUGGCUUUAAUCGACCCGUCUUGAAACACGGACCAAGGAGUCUAACAUGCCUGCGAGUGUUUGAGUGGAAAACUCAUGCGCGCAAUGAAAGUGAUAGUUGAGAUCCCUGUCAUGGGGAGCAUCGAUGCCCAGACCAGACCUUCUGUGACGGAUCUGCGGUAGAGCAGGCAUGUUGGGACCCGAAAGAUGGUGAACUAUGCCUGAAUAGGGUGAAGCCAGAGGAAACUCUGGUGGAGGCUCGUAGCGAUUCUGACGUGCAAAUCGAUCGUCAAAUUUGGGUAUAGGGGCGAAAGACUAAUCGAACCAUCUAGUAGCUGGUUCCUGCC
RNAcentral lists this ribosomal RNA (763 nucleotides) under uncultured Inocybe. RNAcentral describes it as "partial 28S ribosomal RNA". It matches the Rfam family "Eukaryotic large subunit ribosomal RNA", at positions 216 to 962 of the family's 3401-position model. The record is from RNAcentral. Lineage: Eukaryota; Fungi; Basidiomycota; Agaricomycetes; Agaricales; Cortinariaceae.